This 42742-nucleotide long non-coding RNA is filed under the name Malus domestica (apple). RNAcentral's name for it is "long non-coding RNA (MDOM_LNC007336)". The record is from RNAcentral. Lineage: Eukaryota; Viridiplantae; Streptophyta; Magnoliopsida; Rosales; Rosaceae.
UUUGCCCCAAAUCAGGAAACCCUAAUUCCAUUAAUGGCUGAAUUGGUCUCUGGAUUUUCUGAAUCGCAGUUUUUUCUCGUCUCCGGCCAAUUCGAUUUCGUCGAUCUCGUCAGAUUUUCUUCUCUUUGGCAGCGCUCUCCUCCUCCACCUUCUUCUUCUCAGAUUUUCAGUCGCCCUUGUAACUUGUUCUGACAGAGAAAGCGUGCUAGGGAUUCAGAAAGUACAGUAGGGACCCCCCCCAUACGACUCACAGUUAUGGGGAAACGUGAGCCUUUCAUCCCUUUAGAGUUUUCAAUUUGAUAAUUUUGUUCAUUAGGGUGUUCUUAAUUCUGCUAAUUCUGAUGUUUCAAUUCGUUAGUUUUAAUUGUAAUUUGCUUGUUUUAUUGCUUGAGAUCCCAAAUUUGCAUGCAAUUUAUUACUUUUUUGUUGGUUUCAAUUAUUGCAACAAGUUUUGUUUUUGCUGAUUUUAAUGUUUGUUUGAGCUCAUACUACAUGUGGGUUUUUAAUUGUCUCCUAAAAAAGGAGGAUAUAAGAAUUAUGGAAUUUUCGGUGUUGAGGUUAUUGUGGAUUUUGGCAUUUGCAGGUAGUUCUCAGCGUAAGAAUGCUGCGAUGAUGGAUAGUGAUGAUGAUAAUAGUAGCGUGAGUUCGACGUCGACUAUGCGCUCCGAUCAUAUUUCGGUGUCUGUCAAUGAAGAUAUGCAAGUGGAUAAGGAUAGUUUACUUGACCAAGCUGUAGAUGCGUUGUAUGAGAAGAGGUAUACUCUCCUUUUGAUAAUCAUAUUGUGUAAUGAUAGUAAUAAUACUCAGAAAAAAAGUGCAAAGAAGCUUGUUUUAUUGUUGCCCAUUUUGCUUACUAAAUGUUAUACAUUGUGUAUGUGAAGGGGUUCCACAAGAGAAAAAGCUUUGUCAGCAAUUAUUGACGCAUUUAAUAGCAACAUGCAACAUUAGUUUGUGGAAAAGAAGUAAGCAACUGCAUUUGAUUAUAUUCACUUAUGCUCUUAGGACCCAGAAUGCCUUAGUUCUUACCGAUUGUAUUUUGCAUUGAUUCUCAUAAACUUAUUUGGUGUUCAUCAGGUUUGCCACUUUAUUGCAUCAGUGUCUGAAUUGCAUCAACAAGGGUUCGUCCAAAGAGAUAUGUUUGGUGUCUCAUGUGAUCGGUUAGGUCUUAACUCCUUUUUUGGCCCAUUCGUUUACUUCUCCCCCAAGUAUCAAAAUCAGUUUUUAAUCUUUUCGUGUGUGCUUGUAGGACUAUUGGCUUUGACUGUUGGAUGUGGAGACAAUGCUCAUGAAAUACUGGAAGAAUCAGUACCUGUGAUUUCACAGGUUUUCAAAUCUGGAUCUGAAGUCUCAAAAGACAUCAGCGGUAGCUACGAUAUCAUACUUCUUUAGGCUUUAGCUUCAUAUGAUUUCUGGUUGUUGGACAUAUCAUGAUAUUGAACCAGAGCAAACAGGAAAGUCAAUGCAAAUUAUGUGGCAAGUAGUUCAUCCAAAACAAAGUUCCAAUGUAAGUGAGUGCUUGCCGUAUUUAUCUAUUUUUAUUUUGUGUGCCAGCUGAAGGUGCUGUUUCACUAUUUGACUGUUGUCCAUUCUAUAACUUUUUCAGGUAAUGGCAGUCAAACUCUCAGCAGCUGCAAUAACCACCGUGGUGUCUGCGUGGUCCUUUCUUUUGACAACUGUAGAUGGGUGGAAUCUUAAUUUUAAAGAUUGGCAAGAGUGAGUAAAAUAUUGUUAAUUGAUGCAUUUCAUUGCUUUGCUUUUCUUUCAUUUGAUAAGGAUUUGUCUGCUUCUUGAUGUGUGAUUCAAACCACAUCCUGUUUAUGUAUAUAGAUUUUGGCUGCGACCAAUUUGAUGCAAUAACCUUGUGGAAUAACUUACCCACAUCAUAUAUUGUACGGUCAGUUUUCAUUAGGUACUAUUUAUGUUUAAUUUUAAAUAAAAAAAUUCAAAUAAUUUUUUGUCGUACGAUAUAAGAUGAAUGAUUAGGGUGUGAGGGUCUUUAUGAUUCUCACACUUUGAAUCCUGAUGAAAUCCAAAUUUUUUUUUUUUUUUUUCAUUAGUGUGACAUUUGCAGGGCACAUGCUGCACGACAAUAAUUUGAAAAGACGAGACUGACCACUUAGUGAAUGGCAUUUCCUCCACCAAUUUUGGUUUUAUCUACUUUGUUCCUAAUUUCUAAAGCCGGCUAGACCAUCAUUAUUGAAUCUCUUUCGAGAAGGUGCUACUAUAAAAUGAAAAAAAUGUUUAUAACAUUUCUUGUGUUAUUCUUAACCCAUGGACCCUCCAAUUUAAUUUUAACCAUGGCGAUAGUAUAUAUGGUAUAUUGGUGGGUGGGUGUAAAGUUAUUAACUACUAUAGUUUAAUAGUAUUCGUUUUAUUUGUAAACGAAAUGUCUGGAGAUUCAAUUUUCGCAAUGGUGAGUUCUAUACCAAAUUAUUAAGACAAACUUAUUGUGUGGUUAAGCUCAAAUCUCCGUUCUUUUUCUUUUUAAUAUAUCAAUGAAUAAAAAAAAUUGAUGGGAAGACCUGGAGUGAUAAUUCCAUAAAGAAUAAUUGCAAACAAUCGUCGAUUGAAAAAAAGAGUAAACUGUCGAUUUGCCCCUUGAAUUAUCACCCAACUUUCAAUUUCCCCCCUGAACUUUUUAAUUGGAAAAUUAAGGACUUAAACUAAUUUUUUUGGCCAAUUUCCCCCUACAGUUAGUUUUUCAUAGAUUUCAUCCAAAUUAACGUUAACUCUUAUCAUGUGCAAACCACGUAACUCUCAUUUGUGGACAAAAGUGUCAUUUCACUAGACCUUUAGAUACAAAAGCUAUAUAAUCACACAUAUUUGCAUAGGUUUAUAUUUUAGAAAUCUAAGGUUUUCAAUUAUUUUAAAGAAUGAAGCGACCGAACUACCCACACAUGUUGUGCAUAUGCUUCCAUUUAACAAAAAUUUGGAUGGAAUGAAUGAAAAAUUGACAGCAGGGGGCAAAUCGGCCAAAAAAAUUAGUUUAAGUCCUUAAUUUUCCAAUUAAAAAGUUCAGGGGGGAAAUCGAAAGUUGGGUGAUAGUUCAGGGGGCAAAUCGGCAGUAUACUCUUGAAAAAAAUAUGGGGUUCCAAUUUCAAGGUGCACAUUCUCCGACCCUUUAAUGUAGAUAGUAUAUAUUAAAAAAAAACUUUAUGUUAUAGGAAUGACUUUAAACAAGUUAAGAGUAGUAUGCUCACCUUCAUAUUUAUCCAAAUUCGAAUCAUCCUUAAUUGAGACGAAAUGUAUUGAAAACAUUACAAAGAAAAUGUUCCUUUCCAAAAUUUGAGUCACGUUUUAAACCAUAUAAAUGACUUCAAAAUUUCUACUUUACAUGAAGGUAUUUUAAAAUAUACUACAUAAAGAAAUAGAUAUAAUAAAGUGACCAAACUUAUAUCUGCAAUUUUACCGAGAAAUAUCAUAAAAAUUAGAAUAAUACUAAGGAAUAAAUAAUAAUUCUUUCCCAAAAACACAAAAGCAUAAAUAAUAAUUCUUCCCCAAAAGAAGAGAAAAGUAACAAACAAAAAUACUAAUGGCCCCGACUUUAAUUACAUGCUGAGCUGUCAUCACCUCAUUGGCUCCCAAUUCCCCAUCAAAGCCACCCCACAUUGCCAAAAUCCGCUAAUCAAGUUUCACCAACGAAACACACGGCUUUAGAAUUUUUUUAAGGAAAAUAUUUACAUUUUAUUAGAUAGUGUUUUAAAUUAUUUUUAUAAAUCGUUUAAUUGUACAUACUUGUUCAACACACGCAAUCCUGCCUGUAUCUGUAUUUUGUUCAACUCCUAUUAAUUUUUUUUCUCCGUAAACUAUAUUCUAUUAAAAAAGUUAAAUAACUGUUUGGACCCAAAAUGUUAUUUUGGGCCGAGCUCAGAAAUAUCCUCGGCCCAAAGGUGUUCAUUUAGAAUCUUGUCAUGGGCUGGCCAUGUUAAGGUUGGCUGAAUCCUGCUACAAAGAGGAUUAUUUCGGAUAAAGGUGAAGUAGUCGAGACCUAGUAUGAUAAGGAGUCCUAGGGAUGCUGGGACUUGGGAAAUGAAUUUGGCUCAUUAAAAAGGUGGGUUCAAAGUCCUAAUUGAAUUAGGAUUGGCCGAGUCCUAGUUAGAUUAGGUUAAGGAGUCCUAAUCCAAGUGUGGUUCUAGCUUGGCCAUGAGAGAGUUUGUUGCUAUAAAUAGAAGGGAGUGCAUCAUUCAAAGUCUCCAAAUUCAACACACAAACUGCCCUGCACAAACUCUCGCUCUACGCGAAACCUCUCAACAACCUUGAGAUUUUUAUUUUCUUUUUCCCGCCGACACAUCUUCAGUUUGGAUAAACAACAUUGUGAAGGCAACCGGCGACAUCUUCAGGUUGGAUAAACAACACUGGAGCCGUAGAAUCAGCCGAUCAAAGAGCACAUUCAGUUUGGAUAAACAACACUGUUUCUCGACCGACUGAUUACCUAUCCAAGUCUGGGUCGGCAAGGAUUUUCGAGUCCUUGUUGGUAGAGGUCAUCUCAUCAGCAUUCUCGGCGAAGUGAGGUGUUACUAGGUUACUACAUUCGGCACAUUGAAAGCCGAAUCUGAUAUUGAACUUCGCAAAACUAGCAGCCUUGUCUUCAGGCUCUAGAACCUAAAGGCCAAGACGUGUUCCUUCCUCGGCCGCAGUCGCAAAAUCAAGAAGUCAGCAGCGCGCUCAAUGCAACAUCAACACAUUUUACUCAUUGGUCGAGCUCGACCGAUGAGUUGGCACGCCCCGCACAUAACCGAAAGACGUAGUUAGCUUAUUAAUUACUUGGCCUACGUGCCACAUAGGCUUGGUAGUUUUUAGGGUCAACAUGGCACGGCUAGUGGGACACAGUGCUAAAGCUACGAAGUUCAUACCAUUAAGACACGAUCAGUAAAAAAGAAAACAGGAAUGGGUAAAUCAGGGGCUAACCUUCCACCUAUUGUCCAAAACCCAUAUCAUGAUGGCUUGUCACAGGCACAAAAUCCUCCUGUUGUUGUCACACCCGAAGUAACAAGUGCGACACGCCGAGAAAAGGAAGUCAAUCUCGGUGGACAGGCUCGUGAUGUGGAGAUCACCACCAGAGCAACAAAAGGAAUUUUUGUCGAAGGAAUAUUAAAGGAUUGUGGCGAGGACGAUGGUGAAGCAUCUGAUCCACCAACUAGGUCUUUUUUUCGAAGACAACUUGAUGAGCAAUCUUGGCAGUUUGAGCAAACGUUUAGUCGAGAAAUAAAAGGGAUACUCGAAAAAGUACAUGGUUAUAGCGUCGUGCAUACUAAAUUGCUCAAGGUCCUGGUUAGCAAUACCCAGAAUAUUGGACACGCUGAUCGAUCUAGACAAUUUAUUCUAAAUAACAAUCCAAUACCAGCAUUACCAGCCGAGACGGGAUCUGCUCGGCUCAAAAUGAUUGAUUUGAAAAAAAAAGGUGGAUCAAGCAGCAAGGUGGACGAAUUCGAUCGAGGAGCGGAAACGGCAUCCGUCGAUAUGGUUGAGGUCCAAAGAAUGAUUGAUUCGACCUUGAAAAAGGGGCCGAAGUUCCCAAAAUUUAUCCAUCCAUGCUCAGCUUAUGUAGAAAAGUUUGAAUUGUCCUUGUCCUUGUUAGAACAUGUAGCUCGGUUUACUGCGCAAUGCGGAGAUGUUAAUAGUGACUUCCAUAAACUGCGGCUAUUCAACUUCUCGUUGACGGGCUCAACAUUCGCGUGGUACAUCAAUGGUACAUCAACCUCCCACCUAACUCCAUCCAAAGUUGGGAGGAACUAGUCAAAAAAUUCCAUGAGCAAUUCUAUCGGCCGGGAAUGGAAAUGUCAGUUUCUUCAUUGGCCAGGAUGGCUCAAGCAUCUGACGAGUCACUAAUGGAUUAUCUUACAAGGUUUAAAUCGGCCAGAAAUUGGUGCUGAGUACCUCUCUCUAAAGUCAAAUUUGUCAGGCUCGCUUUGAAUGUGCUAGACGUGGAAUACAAAAAGAAAUUCCUGGGGGAACAUUUUCGAGAUAUAUAUGAGCUGGCUCAACACGUCGAACAAUAUUAUUAUCUGCUCCGAGAAGAAAAGAUAUUGAAGUCCUCAUCUCGAUGGACGAUCUAUAAGAACCCUACAGUUAGUUAUGCAUCAAUCGAAGUUGAAGAACCCAAAUGUGUCAACAUAGAUGCGACCGAGAUAGUGAUUGAUAAACCUUAUGUAUGCAAGGCAUUGGCACACGCCAACUCCAAAGAUGUCAAAACUCGCUCGGCCAGUGUAAAAGCGGCCGUUAAAACAUCGAAGGUCUACACAUUCGACAUAACUAAGGUCGAUGCCAUCUUCGUCCAGUUACUAAUUGUGAAAAUUGUCAAGCUUCGGCCGGGACAUAAUUUUCCCAAGGCCGAUGACUUAAAAAGGAAAAUUUAUUGCAAAUAUCACAACUCGGACAAGCAUGCAACGAACAACUGCAUUGUGUUUUGAGACACCAUCCAAAGCUUGGUCGACAACGGCAAACUCAAGUUCCUAGAAAAGAAAAUGGGCAUAGACACCGACCCAUUUCCUACGGCGACAAUAAACAUGGUAGAUGCUCGUCUGCCUGGGGAUAAAGGAAAAAGAAAGGUCGAGUUUGUUACAAUGCAACACGUCCCAAAGCAGAACUCUAGACCACGACUCAUGAUUGAUUUAUUUUCAAACGAGUCGCCUAAAGAUUUUUUGGGACUAACUAUCGUCGAGCCCAUGUUAAACUCCAGCGUAGAGGAAACGGAUGGGCUGGUGGUUUUAUUUAGUCGGUAAAAGGCAAACGUCAUCUUCAUCGAGCCAAAGGAGAAACCACCUCAAGCUACAAUACAACGACCGCCUUAUAUGGCCGCAACGACACUUCAAAAAGUGCUCGGUGCAAGCCAACACCAGGGAGUUUUCUAUAGGCUCAGCCGUCAAACACGGAUCGAUGGAAAACCUUCAGCCAGACGACGUCUUGAUUUCGACACACCGUUUUAUAACGAGGACUAUUAUGCGCGCAACUCUAGCAGCUCAAGUUCAUCCGCAAGCCAGAAAAUCUUCAAACCGCCUGAGCCACUCGACCAACUGUGGUAUAGUUAUAACUCUCAUACCAGCGUGUAUACCGCACUCUCUAAAUCGCAGAAAAACUGGCGCCAAUGAAUAGACUGCAUGGCCAGCCGACAAGCGGCUCGGGCUACCUAUGCUACCAAAUGACAGCUAAAAUAAAUAACAGGUAAUGAAGAUGACAAACAACCCUUGUCAAUCAUGGCUGAAUUACUUCAGGGAAAAAAGGUGAUCAAUCUUGACUUUGAGACCACAAUAGAAGAAUCUGAGAAGCGCAUCAAACUUAUUCUUCGGCCUGGGGAGAUGAAAGCUCGUUUCGAACACUUUAAGAAGGAAGCGAAAAGCAAACUUCCUCUGUUGCCUUCACAAGAGCCAUUAAUAAAAGUCUAACGAAAUCUACACCCCUCAUUUCUCGGUAAAGCUUUGAAGUACAUGCGAGAGUUUCACAAGAAAUAUUCCACUAAUGACUUGUACGGCAUACUAAAGGCGUGUUAAGAGGCUCUUGACCUGGCACUAACUUGCCCUGAUGCCGAGCAGAUUAUUCAAAAGACCACUGAUCCAGGGAUGAAGGCCAGGUUCCAGCAUAUACGUGAAACUCGAGUUAUUGGUUUUGAGGUUGAUCUAUAUACUGAUAUAGAUACCACCGGGCUUCAUUUCUCCCUCAAUGACCUCCAAUAUCUACGAUACCAUUUUGAAGUCUUCUCAGCCGUGUCUUUUUUCGGCCUGACGACCAAUGAGAAAGAGCGCGCAGCAUGGUUAUAUGCUUACCUAUACACAAGGGAUGCCCGAAUCGCCUAUCAAGAGCUUGCCCGUAAGGCGUUGUAGGGAUAAGACAUGUCUCCAAUGUUGAGUGAGCUCAGAGAUAACAAUUAGAAUAAAAUAGGUCAUGUGGAUGUACCACAUGAACAAUUACUUUAAAAAAUGAUUAGGUUGAAGACACUAAAAAACAUGAUACUUUGCUCGAUAGUUUGGAAGACGACGACCAUAACCCGAAGGACCAUUCGAUUCUCGAAAAUAUAGAAAUUAGCAUGGUCCACGUUCUACCGGCUGAAUUUCAGCCAACCACGUCCUAACCGACUUUCUUGGAUGGUGAAGUGGUUGCCGAAGAAGCGACGCAAGUCGACUUCAUCGUCAUGGAGGAGGACGAGCAAGUAAGCAAAGAAGACAAACUCAAAAUAACUCUUGCUGAGCUGUUUCCCCGCUAUUCCUCGGCUAAUCUUCAUCAUUUGAAGCCGUUGUAUGUUACAGCUCACAUAGAAGGAUAUCCAGUUUCCAAAAUCUUCGUUGACUACAAAGCAAUAGUCAAUAUCAUGCCCAUCUCCAUCAUGAAAGCACUACGUCACUCUAACGACAAACUUAUUCCAUCAGGGGUCACCAUGAGUAACUUUGUCGGUGACAAAUCCUAGACCAAUGGGUUAUUUCCGUUAGAAGUAAAUAUUGCAGGUCGUAAUCACAUGACUGCGUUCUUCAUAAUCGACUCAAAAAUCGAAUAUAAAGCAUUGCUCGGUCGGGAUUGGAUCCAUCAAACAUGCUGUAUCCUUUCGUUAUUAUAUCAAGUCCUCAUCUUCUGGGACAGUAAAUCAGUCGUGGUUCAUCUGGCCAAUGAUCAGUCGUUCGAAGCUACGACAACCACGUCGACUACAUCACCUUACAAGGUUUCAACGAUGAAGGACGGCCGACUCAGAUUUCAGUUCAGAAAGCCAUCAAGGUUGGCGCCGAGACUGUUCACAAGGAUUCAGUGAGACUUGGGUUGGCUGACCUCAUUUCCAAUCCCGAUGUCUGACACCAAACAGGCCGAACGCCAGGCUGUAGUUUCAUCUACCAUGGAACGACUGCUGGCUCAUUGGUAUACUAUUUCCAAACAACCGAAUUCGGGCGUAAACCUCGUGGAGUUUCUCGUUGAAUGAGAUAAUGGUCCUGUCAUUUCCCUUGACAAAGUCCAAGUUACCCUGGUCGAGCUUGAAGACAGUCAGCCUCAAGUCAAAGACCCAUUAGAGGAAAUAAAUGUGGGAACGGCCAAUGACUACGGGCCGUUAUUUAUUAGUGCCUUGUUACCCCAACCCAUGAAAACCGAACUUAAAGAUUGUUUUUCUUGGAAUUACCAUGAGAUGUCUGGUAUAGAUCGAACCCUCGUCGAGCACGAAUUAUGCAUUAAAGUUGGUUGUAAGCCUUUUCGCCGACCCCUUUGGCGAUUCUCGACCGAAGUACAACUCGGCAUAAAAGAUGAACUAGUUCGACUUUUAAAAGCCGGGUUUAUUCAGACUGCUCGAUAUGUCGAAUGGAUGGAAAAUAUCGUACCAGUUCUAAAUAAAAGCGGUGCUUUACGCAUUUGCAUCAACUUUCGUAAUUUAAAUUUGGCAACCCCAAAAAAUGAAUAUCCGAUGCAUCAAGGACGGCCACGGCCAACCAUGAGAUGUUAUCCUUUAUGGACGGCCAUGCUGGCUAUAACCAGAUCUUUAUUAUCGAAACUGAUAUCCACAAAACCGUUGCCCGUGGGCACUUGGGACCUACGAGUGGGUAAUCAUGCCAUUCGACCUCAAAAAUGCUGGUGCCAAAUACCACUGUGCUAUGAAUACCAUUUUUCAUGACCUAAUUGGUACAAUUACAGAAAUGUACAUCGACGAUAUGAUAGUUAAAUAGAAGGUCGCCGAACACAUCUAGAUGAUCUUAGGAAAACUUUCAUUCGUAUGCGCCAACAUAAUCUCAAAAUGAACCCAGCUAAGUGCGCAUUCGGUGUAUCGACCAGCAAGAUAAAUUUUCUCCGCCGUUUUGUAGCUAAUUUCGGUUGGAAAAAUGAAAGUGUUAUCUACACUUUUGAAACUCAAGGAUUCAGACAAAUUUAAGCGGCAUGAAAAACAUCAAGCGGCCUUCACACAAAUCAAGGUUGGCCUUACAACCCCACCCAUCCUCGUACCGCCUCGGCCCGGUAAAUCUCUUAAACUAUACAUUUCAGCAGUCGAAGAGUCAAUCAGCUGCCUCUUUGCACAAGACAACGAUAUUGGGCGUUUUAUCUCAGUUGAAAUCUUAACUCACCCGAAAUCAAUUAUUCAGCCGUUGAAAAACUUUACCUGGCUUUGCUUUUUGUUGCAUCUAAACUCCAUCAUUACAUGCUCAUUUCCGUCACUCAGGUUAUCGCCAAAUCGACGUUAUUCGGUAUAUGCUUACUCGACCAAUGGUCAAAGGCCGAAUUGGGAAAUGAACAAUGGCAUUGUCUGAAUUCAGUUUGCAAUACGUGCUAUAGAAAACCGUCAAAGGACAAGCACUAGCCAACUUCUUAGCUCAACAUCAUUCUCCAAUGGUUUCGGGGGCAACAACGUCGAAAUUGGCAUGGUGGAAACACGUGAUAAUUAUUGGACGAUGUAUUUUGAUGGCUCUCGAACUUCAGCCUCGGUCGGUGUUGGAAUCGUCAUUCAAUCCCCAGAUCAACAUCGCUGGUAUGUUUCUCUCAAGCUUGAUUUCGAUUGUACAAAUAAUUAGGCCGAAUACGAAUCCCUUUUCAUUGGCCUUAGCGUCCUUCACGACCUGAGGGCAGCCCACAUACUCAUCUUCGGUGAUUCGAAACUUGUGAUUAACCAACUCAAUGGCACUUUUCGUUGCAUGAGUUUUACUCUAGUGCCUUAUCACAUGGUUGCCAGCUAUUUGGCCGAUUUGUUCGACGGUAUUACAUUCAAACACAUCUCCCGCAUUCGAAACACCGACGCAGACGAACUGGCUCAAAUAGCCUCCGGAGCAUAACUCCUGGGGGGCGAGCUAAGCCAGGCAAUACUUGUAAUACGACGAUCGCACCUGACCUUGGUUAAUCAACAAGAUCUCUAACACAAUCACGUGAUCCGUACACAAGUGAUGUCCUUACCUUCGUUGUUGGAACGAGGAGAUCCUGUAGACAUGUGUGCAGUCAAGAUAUUACCAGACGACUGAAGAAGGUCAAUCAUGCGAUAUCUCGAUAACCCCAGUGGCAAACACGAUUGGAGGACAAAGGUUCAUGCCACAAAUUACGUGUCAUACUAGAAUGAGUUGUAUCGGAAAGACGAUGAUGGUUUAUUGUUAUUGUGCCUCGACUUGCAGGAGGCUGCCCAAGCAAUUACAGAAGUACACGAAGGAAUUUACGGAGCUCACCAAUAUGGAUGUAAGAUGCAUUGGUUGUUUCGUCGACAUGGCUAUUUCUGGUAGAGUAUAUUGAAAGAUUGUAUCAAGUACGCAUGGGGAUGUGUACAGUGUCAAAUUCAUGGGCCUAUACAGAGAGUCUCAGCCAAAUUACUCCACUCGGUCACCAAACCAUGGCCAUUCAAAGGAUGGGCCAUGAAUGUAAUCGAUAAAAUUACACCGUCUUCUGGAGCAGCAAAACAUGCAUGGAUAUUUGUGGUAACCGACCAGAUUCGGUGUACCAAAAACAAUCAUAACUGAUAAUGGCAUAAUCUUUACAGCCGAUAGGUUCAAAUAAUAUACGGCGAACUUGAAAAUUCAACUCAAACAAUCCACGCCGUAUUACCCAUAAGAAAAUGGACAAGUCGAAGCAAGUAAUAAAGUUUUCAUUGGCAUUCUCGAAAAAAUGAUAAAAGAAAAGCCUGGCAUGUGGCAUUUGAAGUUGAACGAUGUUUUAUGGGCAUAUCGGACUUCACUCCGAUCAGCAACAGGGAUGCCCCUGUAUGCGUUAACUUAUGGGCACGACGCGAUGCUACCAGUUGAGUUAAGUAUAAAUUCAUUACAAGUAAUUGAACAAAGUAGUUUGUACAGUGCCAAAUACAAUCAGGCUAUGAGAUAAGAGUUAGAAGACUUGGAGGAAGUUCGGCUUGAUGCUUAUAAUUUAUUGGUGGCACAGAAAAAGAUUGCUGAGCAAGCCUAUAAUCAAUGAGUCAGACAAAAAACAUUUGGCGAUGAAGAGUUAAUUUGGUAAAUCGUGUUGCCCGUAGGAAUUAAAGACCCUAGAUUCGGGAAAUGGUCGCCGAAUUGGGAAGGAUCAUUCAUCGUACAGAAAGUUCUCGGCAAGGGGGCAUACCACCUCAAAGAUCGAACUGGUUUGAUUCAUAAACUACCAAUCAAUGGGAAAUUAAAAAAAAAAAAAAAUUAUCCAGUCACUUGGGAGAUGCGAGAAUAAAAAGUUCAUUUCAUUAAUUUUGCAAAAAGAGUGUACAUGUGGAACUGAUCGAUUAAUUUAUAAGGGGUCGAAGGAAAGAAAGCUUUGAGGGCGGCUUUCAACUCUAACCACCUCACUUCACCCAUUGUGAUUUCAGCUUGCUAAGUUCUCUUGUCUAUCUUCAGUUGCUCAAUCCACUUCGUGCCAGCCGCGUAUUCAGUCAAACGAGGUUUGCUUGACUCAAAAUCCUUUGCUAGAUCAGAGGCAAUGGCCGACCUCUGACGUUGGAGUUUGGCAAUUUGACGGUCGAGGUCGGCUAGUUGUUCUUUCUUCGCCUUUAUCGCCUUGACAUUUGGACGAAUAACUUCUUGAGCGACCAUUGCAGCCUUAUAGUCGUUUUAUACCCGAAGAACUCUGUCGAAGAUAUCAAAAUAUUCUCAGGUUCGUUCUAGGAUAGAAGACAUGCGAGUGACAAUUUUAUUACUCAUUAGGUCGUCGGCUGCAAGGUUGUUCAAACAUUCUCCUACUGAGUUGAGGCAUUUGCGUUCGAGGAUUUGAGAAGCUGAGAGAGAUAAGAGCUCAUGUAGCUUGACAAGGGCAUUUGACUCGGCCGUUGAUGCAGAAGGGUCGGUUGUAGUGGUAGAAGGACCAGCCGUCCCCAAAGAAAUGGAAAGAAGGGCGUCGAGCUCGACUUCCCAUGAAGGCUGCAUAUGAAAGGAUUUUAGAAAAAAAAGGAAAAUCUUAAAGAAGCUAGCAUAGAAGAUAUUUGUGUUAGACCUGCCGAGAUGAGACUUCAGCCAUGUCAUCUGGUUCGUUGCUCGAACCUAGAAAGCUUAAUGGCCGAGCCCAGUGUUUAAGACUGCCUUUUAAUUCACGCGGCCGAUGAAGGUUAUCUAUGUUCGACGGCCACUGAAGUGGCCAAGAAAUAUAGAUAACACCAUUCGACGCAUAGAAUUUUUGGUGAAACGAGUGAUUGGGCACCUGACAUUUAGUAUUUUCUUGGUUUAGAAUUCUAAACCAGGAAGUUAAUAAAAGGAUAAUGAAGAUUCUUACGAAGGCCGAAGUAACCUCAUGUGGAGGAAUGUUGAGAUUCUGAUCUUGGGAAUGAAUCGGCAUCUCUAUCUUCGCUUCUGUUUCAACAGGUACCGCUUCGUGCCCAGCAUUCGCUUCGACAGCAGAAAGGUUGGCUUGGCCAGUCACUGCGACCACCAGCUAAGGAUUAGUGGGUGGCAACUUGGCCGGUUAGGGGCACCUCACCAACAAAGGUUAUUCGCCCUCGUUCUCCUAGACAAAAAUUGCUUGUUCAUUAGUUGGAAGAUCUAAUUAGAAAGAGAAAAAAUUGCUAACAAAAAUGGUCAUACCUCUUAUUCCACGAUGAUUACUGAUUUCUUUUUUGGAUUUGGAUGAGGUAUUUUCUCGGCCAGAGUGGCCGCUUUCCUCACAACAGCAUUUAUUGGUCCGACAGAAUGAUACAGUCAGCCCCGGAGCUGCAGGACCCUCGACCAAUGGAGUGACGACUGGUUCGAUCAUGGCUGGAAUAGUAGGGUAAACCUUAGUCACCUGAUCCAUUGGAGGAUUUUGCAGUCCUCUCGCUGAGGCCUCGACGAUAGAAGGAGGGAGAGAAACGUUAGCAGCAGUUACACCUAUGGUUUGACUUGAGAUCACAAGAAUCUCUCGCUCACCCUUCUUUGCCUUCUUUUUGAUGCGCUUUUGGGGCGGGGCAACAUUACCAGUCGCUCUUAUCUCUAGGUAAAGCCGUUUUCUAGGUGUGACUGACACAGUAGUGGCCGCCACUAGAGUGGGAGAAGUUGCGGGAGCUUGAACAGUUGCAGCUUUCUUUGAAGUGAGAAACAUAAAUAAAUAAAGGACGUCUACCUUGGGCCGCUUCUUUGGAUUUUGGGGUGAGAGCUUUCUUUGGACGAUCGUCGAAAAUAUUUUUGACAAUAUCCUUGACUGGUGUGCUAAAGAAUUAUUGGAUGUAUGUGUCCCACCAAUCAGCAAAUGUGGUAGUACUGUGAGUUUCAGAGACGUUCGACCGAAGAUGGAGUUUCGUGCACCUCUCUUGAAAUUCUCGCUCAGCUUCUUUACACUCUCUUUCGGACAAACCAGAGAUACGUUCUUGAGUUAGAAAAGAGUGUGAAGUGGGUAGAGGCACAUGGCAGCCUUGGAGGUAGCCAAGUUGCCUAGCGGUAAAAUGGGGGUGGUAGACUUCCCAACUCGCGCUCUGAGCAUCACAACCGAGAGAAAGGUCGCGAGCUAACACGAACGCCCCCAUUUUUGUCUAAGAUUGGCGUAUUCGGUCUCAUCCCAUGCCGAUGAUGGAAUCUUGAUGGAAGAUGGGUACUCCUGACGACGACAAAUCAGGAAUUCAUUGUCAGAAAGAUCUUCUAGGCCGAAGAAGUACUUGAAGACUUCUUCGGCCAAGUGAGGAUGAGCUGGUCUAGAGGCCAAUUGGAGACCUAGCGCUUCAGAGGACUUGAAGCUAGGGAUUUAUGGCCUCAGGGUGGUGAAGUAAACUUGCAGCCAAAACUGGAAAACCCAGAGUGGGCCGUUCUGGUACGGGUCAAUUUUGGUGACGGUCGAUUCGGCUAGGCAACGCGUGAGGUUGGCGAUGAUGGCCAAACUAAGAGCUAGGGUGUGACCACUGGCCAGAGCUUCGGCCACUGGCAUGUUUUCGAUCAAAUAUUUAUUUGACUUGGUACAAACAAUAAAUUUGUUGUACCAGUAGAAUAGGAAGGCUUCAUGUUCCCCUUUCUGUAGGUUUUCCUCCCCUCGACCAGCAAAUUGGUGGAUGAGAGUAUUAUAGUUGAAGAAGUUCUUGUGCAGCUUCUAGACUUUUUUUUUUUUGGCUUCUUGGUAUUUCUUUUUUAGGGUUUCGACGACAUGUUCGUCAAAUAAUGACUUAACGUCUAAGUUGAAUUGAUACCUAAGAAAUAUGGUAUCAACUGGAAAACCAGAUGGAGAAGUGCUAAGGAUGGCCGAUAUGUCGAGCACGGUCGGGCCAAUGGGGCCGAGGGGGAGUACCAUUGUGUUGGUGGCCGGGCACCAAAAACUCAAGGCUUCUGUGAGAAGCUCCCGGUCUAUGGCAAUCUCAAUAGUCGAGAGCUUGAUAGCAUCAUAAAUGCCAAGAGUUUUCCACUCUGUGUUGAAGAACUUUUCCAUUCGUUAGACCCAAGUUGCCCAAGAUGCAGGGAUCGAAGGCCAGGCUCCUUGAGGCCUGGUCAAAUCCCACUUCGACCAAUUUUACCCUUGGAGCAAGGGUUUCAAGCAGUGGGCCUUGAUCAUUUCGAUAAUGGCCUUUGGGACGUCGUCCUUGAAAAGUGGUCCCAAGAUCAGGUGGGAAGCAUUUGAAUAGUCUUCAAACCGUUGGGUCUUGAUAGCAUUUCGGUCGAUGAAGUCCUUGCACUUGGUGCACUCCUCAGAAAGCUUGGUAAUAAAGAUGUUAGAAGCCAUUGUUGAAGACUCGAGGGAUUUUCUGGGUUUGGGAGUUUUCUGGGUUUUGAGAUUUUCUAGGUCAUGAGAGAAAAUGGCAAGAGAUUCAAGAGUUCUAAAAACAUAAACUAUGAAUGAAGAAGAGUCAGGUAUUUAUAGGCAUUUUGGGAGGAAGAUCAACCGUUUGGUUUUUAAAUAGGGGGUAGAAUCGAUCGGGGAAUUUGAUAAUCAUGAGGGAUAUUCAGAAAAUCCAGGUGAAUGGACCAAAGAUUUCGUGGUUUGAGGAUGCAUGUUUGCGUGUGACAGCGGAUUUACUAGCGAAUAGACGUUUCGAGGGUCGCACGUUUCGAGGGUCAUUAUUAAAUGCAGACGAGUAAGCUGAGGAAUUGCCAAGUGGUAGAGCAUCUGACAAAGUUAAGAUCGUGCAAUCAUGCUUCAUAAAUGCACUAGAGUGGAUGGAAUAUUCGAGACUUUUCGUUGUCUUUCAAAUAUAUACUAAGGGUUUGAUUUCACUUCUUCAAGAUUGAGGCUCGACAGGAUAUUUAGGCUGAAGACCUCAGAAGCGAGGGGGCAAUGUUUGGACCCAAAAUGUUAUUUUGGGCCGAGCUCAGAAAUAUCCUCGGCCUAAAGGUGUUUAUUUAGAAUCUUGUCAUGGGCCAACCCUAUAAAGGUUGGCCGAAUCUUGCUACAGAUGAUUAUUUCGGACAAAGGUAAAGUCGUUGAGACCUAUUAUGAUAAGGAGUCCUAGGGAUGCUAGAACUCGGGAAAUGAAUUUGGCUCAUUAAAAAGGUGGGUUCAAAGUCCCAAUUGAAUUAAUAUUGGCCGAGUCCUAGUUAGAUUAGGUUAAGGAGUCCUAAUUCGAGUGUGGUUCUAGCUCGGCCAUGAGAGAGUUUGUUGCUAUAAAUAGAGAAUGGUGUGCAUCAUUCAAAGCCUAUCCAAUUCAACACAUAACUGCCCUGUGCAAACUCUCGCUCUACGCGAAACCUCUCAACAACCUUGAGAUUUUUAUUUUCUUUUUCCCGCUGACACAUCUUCAGUUUGGAUAAACAGCACUGUGAAGGCAACCGGCAACAUCUUCAGUUUGGAUAAACAUCACUGGAGCCGUAGAAUCAACCGAUCAAGGAGCAUCUUCAGUUUGGAUAAAUAACAUUGAUUCUCGGCCAAUUGAUUACCUAUCCAAGUCUCAGUCGACAAGGAUUUUCGAGUCCUUGUUGGUAGAGGUCAUCUCAUCAGCCUUCUUGACGAAGUGAGGUGUUACCAGGUUACUACAUUCGGCACAUUGAAAGCUGAAUCUGAUAUUGAACUUCAUAAAACUAGCAGCAUUGUCUUCAGGCUCUAGAACCCGAAGGCCGAGACGUGUUCCUUCCUCGGUCGCAGUCGCAAGAUCAAGAAGUCAGCAGCGCGCUCAAUGCAACAUCAACACAUUUUACUCACCGGCAAAGCUCGGCCUACGAGUUAGCACGUCCCGCACAUAACCGAAUGAUGUAGUUAACUUAUUAAUUACUCGGUCUGUGUGCCACGUAGGCUUGGUAGUUUUUAGGGUCAACAAUAUAACAUACUAAGAAUAUUUGCAAAGAAGACGUUAAAUUCAAAACAUCAAAUUUCAGUUUGACAUAUGACUUAGCAAUUUGACAUAUUGUUAAUAUUUUCCUUCCACCUAAUAUGCCAAAAUGUAUUUCUUCAUUUAUAUUUUUUAAAUAAAAAUAAUAAAAGUUGGGCUGUUAUUUGUUUAAAAAUAAUAAAAUAAUACUUAAAUAUUCUAGCAUUUAAGAUAAGGCAAGUUAAGUAUCUUUGGAAAUAUCAAAAACCUCAUUUGACAUGGCAUCAAUUUUGACAUCUUCUUGUUCAUGUUAGUUUAGUAUUCUCUUUGCAAGGCUUAUAGAUGAAUGUUGGAAGAUAGUGGGAGGGGGAAUUGUCAAACAAAUGACGGUGUUUGGACUCGUGUGUCCAAAAAAUACUUAGAGUUCUAUGAAGGCACCACUCUAGUAAAUAUUCGAAACCACGAGAGUUGUUCUUCAAGAUGGAAGAAACAUCUUCAGCCAAGUUUGAACAAAUGGCAUCAAGUAUUGUUAGCAGCCGCCCGCAAGUAGACAUGAAAGCGGCGCUGAUUACUACGAUGAAGUAAGUGCUUUCACAAUUUAUUUUAAAUAUUUAAUUAUAUUACAUUUAAUUUCAUAAAUUAAUUUCCUUUAAUUUUUUUCUCGGUACGCCAAACGAAGGAAUUAUAUAUGGAGAGUAGCUUGAAACCCUUCCAAAUACACAGUUGUUGGGAAAUUUGUAAAGGGUGGGUGUUAUUUGAAGAUCCACCACAUAGAGCUUCUACGCCGAUGUUCGGAAUAGCAUCCUUAGCUGCAUAUAUGGAUCAAGAUGGAUCUCCAACCAUUCAACAAACAAAGGUAGAAAAUCCGUCUUUGGAUGAAGGUUACAUACCUAGGGCUAUGGGACGAAACAAGGCGCGAAGGUUGAAGGAAAAGGGCAAGGCAAAUGAUGAUUAUGCCGCUCAACAAGAAGUGGCGGCCUCAUUGCGAUUAAUGGCAGAGCAAAAUGCCCUUGAGGCGGAAGAAAGGAAAAGUAGGCAUGAAGAACCGGGUCAAACAAGUACAAGAAGAGAUAAAUGAUAAGAAUAUGGAAAGGAACACUUCGAAUUACACUUCAAUGAGUAAGGCCUAUUUUGAUAGGAAAAAAAAUGAAAUUAUGACCCGGCGGCAGUUGUUUACCUCUGACUAUACUCCUACAAUGGCGGAUGAUGAAGGUGAUGUUGAUUAUGGAUAUUAAAUUUACGUUGUUGUAGUUUUAAAUUCAGGUUAAUGUUGUUUUUAAAUUUAAUUUGUAGUUUUUAAAUUUAAUUUGUAGUUUUUAAAUUUAAUUCGUCGUUUUUAAAUUUAAGUUGUAGUUUUUAAAUAUAAGUUGUAGUUUUUAAAUUUAAGUUGUUGGAUUUGAAUUUAAGUUGUUGUAGUUUUUAAAUUUAAAUAAUAAAUUAUGUUUGGCCCUUUGGCCCUUGGUUGGAAACGGAGGCAAAUAUGGUUUUGUACUGUUCAUUAAAAUAUUAAUAUCUUGGAGGCCAGAUGGUUAAAACGAGUCAUCUAGCCAGCCCUCGGUUGGAGAUGGCCUAAGGCAAGUUAAGUAUCUUUGGAAAUAGCAAAAACCUCAUUUGACAUGGCGUCAAUUUUGACAUCUUCUUGUUCAUGUUAGUUUAGUAUUCUUUUUCAUAUCAGCUUUGACAUUUCGAUUUUGAAGAUGGUCCAAUGAUAUAAAAAUUAAAUAAUCUACUAAAGAUAUCAAUUUGAUGAUUAUUUAAUUUACACAAUAAAAAUAUGGAGUUUUAACGAAAAGCCCGCAAUACUGUUCAUUUUAACGGAAAAACCACAUUUUUACACUAAAUAGUCAAACCUGGUACUAUUUACUUUACCCUUUAUUUUGUCGUUAUAGUUAAAACUCAAAAUUUUCAAGUACUUUUCAUUAAUUUUCCUAUAAAAAUAUGUUAUAUAUUAAAUUUUUGGAAUUUCCGAAUUUGACCGCUCUCUCUAUUUCCUAAACGCGGCAACUCUGACACCAAGCGGCAAAGACAUUUUAAUUUAAUAUUUUUACCUACUGUUAGGAGUAAUGAAGGUUCACAAUCUUAUCAAAGGUGUAAAGCACCAGAUUAGUACCUCCUUAGUCUAGAUGUUAGUUAAGAAAGUGUCGAGUCACAGUAUCUCAGCUCAUGAAAAUGCAGUUACGCAAAUCUCUCUCUACGUUUUCCUCUCUCUCUCUCUCUAAAACUCUAAUUCCUUACUCACAAAGAUUCUACUUUCUACAUGGGAUCAUCGCCGGAGUCCACUGACGUUGAUCUCCCGCUUCUGCGUUCUUGAUUUUCUUGCACUUUCUCUCUUGCCAAACAGGUCUUGUCCUACUUUUCUCUUCAAUUCUCUGUGAGAUUCCGCUAUGGCUGCAGCGAGAACUUUUAUGUGAAGGCGAAGAACUCGUCUCUGUGUAUAAGGCUAGGGUUUCUGGUUUGCUGUGAAGCUGAGAAGCUGAGAUGGAGAGCUAUUUGAACGAGAACUUUUAUGUGAAGGCGAAGAACUCGUCGGAGGAGGCGUUUCAGAUAUGGAGGAAGCCGUGUGGACUUGUCAAGAAUCGGAAACGGAGGUUCAGAUUCACUGCUAACCUCCCCAAGCGUUUUGAAGCUGAGGCCAUUCGACGAACCAAUCAGGUAUAAAUCGGUUACUCUUUUGGUUUCUCUCUCUUUUUUUGUUCUGUUUGGCUCCUGAGAAAAUUUUUGGAAUUAUUUAGUUCUUUUUGUUGAUAAGUUGAGUGUGACCCCAAUGCUACAGUUAAUCUGGAUUUCUAAUUGAUUAAUGUUCGUUUUCUGCUUGCUUAUAGAUUUACAUUUCAGCUGGAUUUCUAAUUGAUUAGUGUUCGUUAAUCUGGAUUUCUAAUUUAUUAGUGUUCGUUUUCUAACAAAAUCAAAGCGUUGUAUAUAGAAAGUUGGGAAGAUCAUCUCUCAAUUGAAAUUCGAUGAUGGGCUAGCUAAGAAGGGAAAAAGUAGACUCGCUGUUGUUCGUAAUUUGGGGUUGUGUGUUUCUGGUGCAUCCUGAAUUAUCAGUGCUGUUCCCAGAUCCAUAUCAGCUUGAAAUAGCCAUUUUGUUCUGUCCAAGUACAUAUUGUACUAGAUUUGGGGGAUGCGCGUGAACGUAGGGACUCGUGAAUGAUUAUCAUUUCAGAACCAUGCACCGUAAAAAUUUUAAGCAAACUCAUAGCUUUAAAUGACCUUAUGCUACAUAAACGAGGAUAAGUUCAAUUCUGCAGUGAACCAUAGUUGCUGUUUGAUAGACUAUGAAAUUAAGGUAUACCGUCUACCAUAAAAAGAAAUUGAGCAGGUAUAUUUAUACUUAAUAGGGGUAGUAACUCGUAAAAAAUAUAUUCAUGUGCAUACUUCAUGUAGAAAAUAUAUCUUUUGCUGUCUUAUAAAAGAAAACCUUAUUUCUUAGUGUGUUGUCCUUCGUUCUUCGGUUGAAAUAACAGGGUAAGUUUAGAGUUGCAGUUUUGGAUUCACAAGCUGCGCUUCAGUUUAUCCAAGGUUAGAAUCUUAACCUACUCAGCUCUAAAGUUGUUUGUACAGACGAUAUUUAUUAUAUUUUCAAACAAUGGUUCUACUUGUUUUAUCUGUUUAUUUGGUUUUCAAUCUUCAAUGUGUGCAGGCUUAAGUUUGCCCAGUGAUUAUACCGUACCUGAGGAAGUCAAAGCUGCGGGCUUUCAAAUUUGUGCUGAUGAGGUGGGAUCGAUUGUUGAUAGCUUUGAUUUGAAAAAGCUGAAAAGUCACGGUGGUGUGGAGACUAUCACAGACAAGCUUGGAACAUCAAGUAUCAAUGGAAUUUUUACUUCUGAGAAAUUGCUUAAUAAGAGAAAAGAAAUAUAUGGGGUUAAUAAAUUUAUUGAAAAACCGUCCCGUGGAUUUCUUGUUUAUGUGUGGGAAGCCCUUCAGGACACUACCCUCAUGAUACUUGCAUUGUGUGCCUUUGUAUCUCUGCUGGUUGGGAUAAUGACAGAAGGUUGGCCAAAGGGUGCCCACGAUGGACUUGGAAUUGUUGCUAGCAUUUUGCUUGUUGUAUUUGUCACUGCAACUAGUGAUUAUAAACAAUCCCUGCAGUUCAAGGAUUUGGAGAAGGAGAAGAAAAAAAUUACAGUUAAGGUUACUAGAGAUGGAUUCAGACAGAAGUUGUCCAUUUACAAUCUACUUCCUGGCGACAUUGUUCAUCUUUCUAUUGGAGAUCUGGUCCCAGCUGAUGGACUUUUUGUUUCGGGGUUUCCUGUGCUGAUAAAUGAAUCCAGUUUAACAGGAGAGAGUGAACCAGUUAAGGUCAACUCUACAAAUCCUUUUCUCCUCUGUGGAACUAAAGUUCAGGAUGGAUCAUGCAAGAUGCUUGUAACUACUGUUGGAAUGAGAACCCAGUGGGGUAAACUGAUGGCUACUCUUAGUGAAGGGGGAGAUGAUGAAACCCCCUUGCAGGUCAAACUAAAUGGUGUGGCAACCAUCAUUGGGAAAAUAGGCCUGUUUUUUGCUGUUGUGACAUUUUCUGUAUUGGUUCAAGGAUUGUUCAGCCGCAAGCUUCAACAAGGAUCCCACUUGAUCUGGUCUGGAGAUGAAGCAUUGGAAAUCUUGGAAUAUUUUGCUAUAGCUGUUACAAUUGUUGUUGUUGCUGUUCCAGAGGGUUUGCCUUUGGCUGUGACAUUGAGUCUUGCUUUUGCCAUGAAGAAGAUGAUGAACGAUAAGGCACUAGUCAGGCAUCUGGCUGCUUGUGAGACAAUGGGAUCAGCCACAACUAUCUGCAGUGACAAGACUGGGACACUAACGACGAGCCACAUGACUGUUGUGAAAGCUUGCAUUUGUGGUAAAAUCAGAGAUGUGGGAACCUCCGAGGAAGCUACUAACUUUGCUUCUAUAGUUCCUGAAUCUGGUUGGAGGCUUACGCUGCAAUCUUUUUUGAGCAUCUUCUGUGGUAAAAUCAGAGAUGUGGGAACCUCCGAGGAAUUUCCUGAAUCUGGUUUGAGGCUUCUGCUGCAAUCUAUUUUUAACAACACUGGAGGAGAAGUUGUUAAAAACAAAGAUGGCAAGACUGAGUUACUUGGAACACCCACUGAGACUGCUAUUUUGGAAUUUGGGAUGUUGCUAGGCGGUGAUUGCAAGGCAGAAAGGGAGGCAACAAAAGUUGUUAAAGUUGAGCCUUUCAAUUCUCAUGAAAAGCGAAUGGGUGUUGUUGUAGAGCUUCCUAAAGGUGGCUUCCGGGUGCACACUAAAGGUGCUUCUGAGAUAAUAUUAGCUGCAUGCGACAAAAUCAUGUGUCCAGAUGGCAAGGUUGUUCCCCUCGAUAAAGCAUCCAUUAAUUUUUUUGAAUGGCAUCAUUGAACGUUUUGCUAGUGAAGCCCUUAGAACUCUCUGCCUUGCAUACAUGGAGGUCGGCAAAUUCUCAGCUGAAAAGUCCUAUUCCCACCUCAGGGGUACACAUUUAUAGGCAUUGUGGGUAUCAAAGAUCCAGUUCGUCCUGGUGUCAAGGAGUCUGUUGCAAUUUGUAGGUCUGCUGGUAUUACAGUCAGAAUGAUUACUGGAGACAACAUAAACACUGCAAAAGCAAUUGCAAGAGAGUGUGGAAUUUUGACCGAUGGAGGUUUGGCAAUUGAAGGCCCAGUGUUUCGUGAGAAGAGUGAGGAGGAAUUACAAAGAAUUAUUCCAAACCUUCAGGUACAGUUUCUUAUUUUUCUGAAAAGACACUUGUCAGAAACAUGUUAUCAAAAUUUCACAAUCCCGCCAGUGAGCUGUCUCAGAAACAUUUAAUUAAAUGUAUUUUACUUAACAAAUCCCUAGACUAGUAAACUGUUAAACCUAUUGAAAUUCCUUAUUCCCCCUUUACCAUUAUUGCACAGCUAAUUAUGGUAGACAUACUAACAGUGACAAUAGCUCUAACCAUAUCAACGAUAAAUACAUUAUUUCUUCACUUACGGGUGACAUGCACCUUUAACCAUAAAUAAAAAGGUCGUACCCAGUGCACAAGGCUCCCGCUUUACGCAGGGUCUGGGAGAGGUGAAUGUCGGCUAGCCUUACCCCCAUUUAUGGAGAGGCUGCUCCCAAGUCUCGAACCCGAGACCUACCGCUCAUGGGCGAAAGCACUUGCCAUCGCACCAAGUGCGACCUCUACCUUUAACCAUAAAUAAUAGAACAAUUUUCUUGUCUAAUUUUGCUGUUCCCUUCCACUUCAAGUGACUUUUCUAAUGAUGCAAUUUGAUGUUAUGAUCAGGUUAUGGCUCGUUCUUCACCAAUGGAUAAGCAUACCCUUGUAAGACACUUAAGGACCACUUUUCAAGAAGUUGUUGCUGUGACUGGUGAUGGUACAAACGAUGCUCCAGCACUUCAUGAAGCUGAUAUAGGACUUGCAAUGGGCACUGCUGGUACUGAGGUAUUUACAAAGAUGUUGCUUCUUUUUGUGUCUUAAUAAAAGCCUCCUCUCGCUCUCUCAAAUCGUAGAGUCGCACAUGUCGACAGUUGAUUUUCCUGUUUUAUAAAUAUAAUAUGCUAAAAGAAGCAACGUUUUUACUUCUUAGGUAGUUGUUUCUAGAGAAAAGUUCAAUCACCAUUUUCUCUCUCAUGUCAUGCCUGUAAACCUAUUUUGUUGCAUUACAAACAUUCAGUUCCGGUAGAAUUUGAUUGGAAACUACAGUUGUACAAUUAGAGUUGCAUGAUCUUAUUACUAAAUUGAGAUAUCAGAAGAAUGCACAAGGGUUGCAAAGUGGUGGUGGUAAGACUAAAUUUUAUGAGGUUACAUAUGGAUAAUACAAGAAAUAAGUGAAUGCUUUGCCCAAGGACGUCUCAUUUACUCUCUUCUUCUUGUUCGUGAAUCCCCUGAUCCUUUAUUUUUAGGUGAGCUUGAUCGUUUUUGAUAUUAAGGUAAUUAAGAAUGUGCUAAUUAUAUCAGGUGGCAAAGAAAAGUGCUGACGUGAUAAUUCUGGAUGAUAACUUUUCUACAAUUGUGACUGUGGCCAAAUGGGGACGUUCAGUGUACUUAAACAUCCAGAAAUUUGUUCAGUUCCAGUUAACGGUUAAUGUGGUUGCGCUUAUUGUCAGCUUCUCUUCCGCCUGUUUAACUGGUAAGCAGACUGCGAUGCAUUUUCUCUCUUGUUUAAGUUUCUUGUUUUUGUUUCUCAUGAAAAUAUUUUAUUGGCUAACUUUUUGUUUUGGGUUGAUAACGCUCCUAGGAAAUACUCCCCUUACUGCUGUUCAGCUUCUCUGGGUCAACAUGAUCAUGGACACUCUAGGAGCCCUUGCAUUCGCCACCGAGCCACCUAAUGACGAUUUAAUGAAGAGAGCACCGGUUGGCAGGAAAGGAAACUUCAUCACUAAUGUGAUGUGGAGAAAUAUCCUAGGGCAGUCUCUGUAUCAGUUUGUGAUAAUAUGGUUUCUACAGACCAGAGGAAAAGAAGCUUUUCAGCUCAUUGGCCCAGACUCGGAUUUGAUCUUGACCACCCUUAUCUUCAACUCAUUUGUGUUUUGUCAGGUAAUUAUGAAUCAUCGAGGGAUGUGAUUUAAUCGUAUUGCGUUUGUUAAUGAAUGGAGUAUUGGAAAAAGUAAAAUUCAAAUUCAGGAAAUGACUACUCAUCCAGAUACAUUCAUUUGAAUGCUACCGUCUUCUUUCAGGUUUUCAAUGAGAUCAGCUCGAGGGAAAUGGAGAAGGUUAACGUCUUCAAGGGCAUAAUGCAGAACUAUGUUUUCGUGACUGUCCUCUCUGCCACUGUUAUCUUUCAGAUCAUAAUCAUCGAGUUCUUGGGUACAUUUGCGAACACACAUCCUCUAAGUUGGAAACAAUGGUUUGCCAGCGUUGCACUUGGGUUCCUUGGCAUGCCGGUUUCAGCAGUUCUGAAAUUCAUCCCUGUGUAACAAGUAGACUGAAAUCAACCGGAACUUGAACAGGUACUUCUCCACUUGCCUACCGAUGGAUGUUUUGUUAUGGCAUCAUUUCCAAGAUCAUUCUUUUGAUCCUUCUCUUGUAAUUGCUCGUUUUAUUGUCGAUAAUUAAACCACUGAUUGAUGCAUGCUGCAUAAGAGACUGCUUGUACUAUAGUUGGCCAUGGCAAUUUCCAGGCAUAUACCGGAAAUUUUGCCGUAAAAUUUACCAUGGCAUGCUGACUUCAUCUCUUUCGUCGAGAAAACAAACUACAUGAUAUGCCAUGCAAUCUUCUCGUAUCUUCGCUUUCACCCGAACAUCAGUCAAAGUUAUGAAUGGAGAUGUCACGUGAUGAGGGAGAUACUAACGUAAGAAUUUACGUCAAUUACACUCUUUAAGCCAAUUUCAGUUUUACCUAAUUUGGUCACAUGUGAUAUUUACUAUUACCGACCGAAGUAAUUCCACUCCGCUAUCGAAAUUUCUUUAGCAGAACAGAAUCACACUUCUCUGAUGUAAUGCAACUCAAAGAAUUCUCUACAACAUCCAUCCACGGGGCUCGAAUCAAACGGAAUCAGCGAUCAAUUGGUUUUUACGGACUUCUCUGCAGGAACUGAAGAACUAACUGCAACAUUUACCAGGAUCGAUCGGUCCUUCAAACUCUUUAGCUCCUUCUCCUGCAUCCGAUUGUAGCAUAAAAACACAGCUUCCUGCAACACAAAGGCCAAUGAGUCCAAGAUUAAUCAAAAUCCAGUCUUUAAUCUACUUGAUUAAUCAACUAAUGAGAUCAAUUAAGAAAACUCACAAUUUCCAGAAAAUUCAAGUCAGGAACCGAUUUUAUCAUGACUUCGACUGCCUCCUUUGUUAACUUCUGAUCCACUGCCAUUAAGGUGGCGGCUGUUGCUACGGCGGACGGUCGAUGAUGCAUUAAGUUAAUCUCUGUAAAACAUUAAGAUUAGAGUUAAUUAAUAAAUUAUAAUUAACCAUCUAAAUCAACCAACAACAAAAAAAAAGAAAAAAUAUUAAGUGAUUGAUCAAACAUAAAACAUUGUUCGUGAAAAUUAACAGAAAUACCUGUCAUUCCAGAAAGGAGGUGUCCUUCAAUCCGAGAUUUCACAUCUGAUGCAGGUCCCUGGCAUAACUUGGAGAUCAAGUAACCGAGAAACGCAAAGGGUGUGAUCAAACUCAGCCUCCAAUCUAAGUGUUCGAGAAACGCCAACUCCGUCGUCCCGACGAAAUGACAUGGAAAUGAGUAAUCUCCGACCGCGUAUUGUGACAGUGGUGGAAGUUUCACGUCCAACUCCUCCAUCUUUGCCUCCAACGACAGGCACACCACCGAAAGCAACCUCUUUGCAGAUUUUGGCUCUUCUUUCUGCAGAAAAGAAGAAGAAAAAACCAUAAAAAUAUAAUCUUUAAAACCUACAGGGUCGGAACUCAGCGAAUAGAAUCGAUCGAAAUAUGUAAUGGCCAGAUAUGCUGUCAAGGGCUGAAACCCAAGUUCUGCACUUCUCUGAAUUUCAAGAACACCCGAUUAAGUUCCCAAUUGAAACUUCACAAAUGUUGGUUCAAAUGAUCGAAAUUUCGAAAACAAGAAAUGGGGUUUUGGAGUUCGGAGACUGACCUUGAGAACCCAACGAGCUUCCAAAACCCAGCUGGGAAUGAUCACAUUUUCAUCUUUCUUGAAGUCGAAUUUGAUCUCUCUGUUGAUUAAGUUCUUCAGUUGCUCUUGUUCCAGUGCACUAUCGGAGCAGUAGUUCGUGCUGAUCAAUGCGUUUUCAUCUGCCAUCUCUCCGUCCAAAAAUGUCAGACUUUCGUGGCAAGAAACGUCGGGCGAGAAAGGAUCGUAGUUAUCACAACCGUCGACCUCCGUUGUUUCUUUCUUGGCAAGAAAGGUCCAGAAAAUGUUGUAGAAAAAAAGGAAUCAAAUAGUAUGAACUCAGUGAGCCAACCUAGUACUGAAGCCAAAGAUUUGAGAGAGAAAAUGGUUGACCAGCAAAGACUGAAUACGACUGUAUAUAUUUAUAGUGAAAGUGGAUGCAGAGAUGUGACACCGUUUUAACAGAAUUUUCACCAUUCCUACACCAUUUCAAUUCUCAUAUUUUCUUUCCUCUUUAAAAAAUCUAUCCUUCAAUUUUUUCAAUAAUUUUCAAAUGGCCUUGUCUGCAAUAAAAUGUAGGGCUUGAACCUGAAAAGAAGAUGAAGCUCUUUGCAAGGCUUAUAGAUGAAUGUUGGAAGAUAGUGGGAGGGGGAAUUGUCAAACAAAUGACGGUGUUUGGACUCGUGUGUCCAAAAAGUACUUGGAGUUCUAUGAAGGCACCACUCCAGUAAAUAUUCGAAACCACGAGAGUUGUUCUUCAAGAUGGAAUAAACAUCUUCAGCCAAGUUUGAACAAAUGGCAUCAAGUAUUGUUAGCAGCCGCCCGCAAGUAGACAUGAAAGCGGCGCUAAUUACUACGAUGAAGUAAGUGUUUUCACAAUUUAUUUUAAAUAUUUAAUUAUAUUACAUUUAAUUUCAUAAAUUAAUUUUCUUUAAUUUUUUUCUCGGUACACCAAACGAAGGAAUUAUAUAUGGAGAGUAGCUCGAAACCCUUUCAAAUUCACAGUUGUUAGGAAAUUUGUAAAGGGUGGGUGUUAUUUGAAGAUCCACCACAUAGAGCUUCUACGCCGAUGUUCGGAAUAGCAUCCUCAGCUGCAUAUAUGGAUCAAGAUGGAUCUCUAACCAUUCAACAAACAAGGGUAGAAAAUCCGUCUUUGGAUGAAGGUUACAUACCUAGGGCUAUGAGACGAAACAAGGCGUGAAGGUUGAAGGAAAAGGGCAAGGCAAAUGAUGAUUAUGCCGCUCAACAUGAAGUGGCGGCCUCAUUGCGAUUAAUGGCAAAGCAAAAUGCCCUUGAGGCGGAAGAAAGGAAAAGUAGGCAUGAAGAACCGGGUCAAACAAGUACAAGAAGAGAUAGAUGAUAAGAAUAUGGAAAGGAACAUUUCGAAUUACACUCCAAUGAGUAAGGCCUAUUUUGAUAGGAAAAAAAAUGAAAUUAUGACCCGGCGGCAGUUGUUUACCUCUGACUAUACUCCUACAAUGGCGGAUGAUGAAGAUGAUGUUGAUUAUGGAUAUUAAAUUUACGUUGUUGUAGUUUUUAAAUUCAAGUUAAUGUUGUUUUUAAAUUUAAUUUGUAGUUUUUAAAUUUAAGUUGUAGUUUUUAAAUAUAAGUUGUAGUUUUUAAAUUUAAGUUGUUGGAUUUGAAUUUAAGUUGUUGUAGUUUUUAAAUUUAAAUAAUAAAUUAUGUUUGUCCCUUUGGCCCUUGGUUGGAAAUGAAGACAAAUAUGGUCUUAUACUGUUCAUUAAAAUAUUAAUAUCUUGGAGGGCCAGAUGGUUAAAACGAGCCAUCUGGCUAGCCCUCGGUUGGAGAUGGCCUAAGACAAGUUAAGUAUCUUUGGAAAUAGCAAAAACCUCAUUUGACAUGGCGUCAAUUUUGACAUCAUCUUGUUCAUGUUAGUUUAGUAUUCUUUUUCAUAUCAGCUUUGACAUUUCGAUUUUGAAGAUGGUUUAAUGAUAUAAAACUUAAAUAAUCUACUAACGGUAUCAAUUUGACGAUUAUUUAAUUUACACAAUAAAAAUACGUUGUAUAUUAAAUUUUUGGAAUUUCCCAAAUUGAUCGCUCUCUCCGUUUCCUAAACGCGGUGACUCUGACACCACGCGGCAAAGACAUUUUAAUUUAAUAUUUUUACCCACUGUUAGGAGCAAUGAAGGUUCACAAUCUUAUCAAAGAUGUAAAGCACCAGAUUAGUACCUCAGUCCAGACGUUAGUUAAGAAAUUGUUGAGUCAGCAUAAUCAGUUAACUUCAGUUAAAUACUCAAUGCACACCGUAUCUCAAUGUACGAAAAUAUAAUUACGCAAUUCUCUCUCUCCAUUUUCCUCUCUCUCUCUCUCCAAAACUCUAAUUCCUUACUCACAGAGAUUCUACUUUCUACAUGGGAUCAUCGCCGGAGUCCACUGACGCUGAUCUCCCGCUUCUGCAUUCUUGAUUUUCUUGCACUUUCUCUCUUGCCAAGCAGGUCUUGUCCUACUUUUCUCUUCAAUUCUCUGUGAGAUUCCGCUAUGGCUGCAGCGAGAACUUUUAUGUGAAGGCGAAGAACUCGUCUCUGUGUAUAAGGCUAGGGUUUCUGGUUUGCUGUGAAGCUGAGAAGCUGAGAUGGAGAGCUAUUUGAACGAGAACUUUUAUGUGAAGGCGAAGAACUCGUCGGAGGAGGCGUUUCAGAUAUGGAGGAAGCCGUGUGGACUUGUCAAGAAUCGGAAACGGAGGUUCAGAUUCACUGCUAACCUCCCCAAGCGUUUUGAAGCUGAGGCCAUUCGACGAACCAAUCAGGUAUAAAUCGGUUACUCUUUUGGUUUCUCUCUCUUUUUUUGUUCUGUUUGGCUCCUGAGAAAAUUUUUGGAAUUAUUUAGUUCUUUUUGUUGAUAAGUUGAGUGUGACCCCAAUGCUACAAUUAAUCUGGAUUUCUAAUUGAUUAAUGUUCUUUUUCUGCGUGCUGAUAGAUUUACAUUUCAGUUGGAUUUCUAAUUGAUUAGUGUUCGUUAAUCUGGAUUUCUAAUUGAUUAGUGUUCGUUAAUCUGGAUUUCUAAUUUAUUAGCGUUCGUUUUCUAACAAAAUCAAAGAUUUGUAUAUAGAAAGUUGGGAAGAUCAUCUCUCAAUCGAAAUUCGAUGAUAGCCUAGCUAAGAAGGGAAAAAGUAGACUCGCUGUUGUUCGUAAUUUGGGGUUGUGUGUUUCUGUUGCAUGCUGAAUUAUCAGUGCUGUUCCCAGAUCCAUUUCAUCUUGCUGAAUGUCAAAACGAAAACCUUGACCAAGUACAUAUUGUACUAGAUUUGGUUGAUGGUAUAUCAACUGUUAUAUUCUGAUAAUCUGUAAGAGGACUUAAAAAUUGAUGCAUUGCACGGUAAAAAUUUUAAGCAAACUCACAGCUUUAAAUGACCUUAUGCUACAUAAAUGAGGAUAAGUUCAAUUCUGCAGUGAACCAUAGUUUCUGUUUGAUAGACUAUGAAAUUAAGGUAUACCGUCUACCAUAAAAAGAAAUUGAGCAGAUAUAUUUAUACUUAAUAGGGGUAGUAACUGGUAAAAAAUAUAUUCAUGUGCAUACUUCAUGUAGAAAAUAUAUCUUUUGCUGUCUUAUAAAAGAAAACUUUAUUUCUUAGUGUGUUGUCCUUUGUUCUUCGGUUGAAAUAACAGGGUAAGUUUAGAGUUGCAGAUUUGGUUUCACAAACGCUUCAGUUUAUCCAAGGUUAGAAUCUUAACCUACUCAGUUCCAUGUUGUUUAUACAGACGAUAUUUAUUAUAUUUUACAAACAAUGGUUCUAUUUGUUUUAUAUGUUUAUUUGGUUUUCAAUCUUCAGCGUGUGCAGGCUUAAGUGUGCACAGUGAUUAUACAGUACCUGAGGAAGUCAAAGCUGCGGGUUUUCAAAUUUGUGCUGAUGAGGUGCAAUGGAUUGUUGAAGGCCGUGAUGUGCAAUACUUGAAAAGUCAUGGUGGUGUGGAGACUAUCAUAGACAAGCUUGGAACAUCCAGUAUCAAUGGAAUUUCUACUUCUGAGAAAUUGCUUAAUAAGAGAAAAGAAAUAUAUGGGGUUAAUAAAUUCGUUGAAAAACCAUGCAGUGGAUUUCUUGUUUAUGUGUGGGAAGCCCUUCAGGACACUACCCUCAUGAUACUUGCAUUUUGUGCCUUUGUAUCUCUGCUGGUUGGGAUAAUGACAGAAGGUUGGCCAAAGGGUGCCCAUGAUGGACUUGGAAUUGUUGCUAGCAUUUUGCUUGUUGUAUUUGUCACUGCAACUAGUGAUUAUAAACAAUCCCUGCAGUUCAAGGAUUUGGAGAAGGAGAAGAAAAAAAUUACAGUUCAGGUUACUAGAGAUGGAUUCAGACAGAAGUUGUCCAUUUACGAUCUACUUCCUGGUGACAUUGUUCAUCUUUCUAUUGGAGAUGUGGUCCCAGCUGAUGGACUUUUUGUUUCGGAGUUUCCUGUGCUGAUAAAUGAAUCCAGUUUAACAGGAGAGAGUGAACCAGUUAAGGUCAACUCUACGAAUCCUUUUCUCCUCUGUGGAACUAAAGUUCAGGAUGGAUCAUGCAAGAUGCUUGUAACUACUGUUGGAAUGAGAACCCAGUGGGGUAAACUGAUGGUUACUCUUAGUGAAGGGGGAGAUGAUGAAACCCCCUUGCAGGUCAAACUAAAUGGUGUGGCAACCAUCAUUGGGAAAAUAGGCCUGUUUUUUGCUGUUGUGACAUUUUCUGUAUUGGUUCAAGGAUUGUUCAGCCGCAAUCUUCAACAAGGAUCCCACUUGAUCUGGUCUGGAGAUGAAGCAUUGGAAAUCUUGGAAUAUUUUUCUAUAGCUGUUACAAUUGUUGUUGUUGCUGUUCCAGAGGGUUUGCCUUUGGCUGUGACAUUGAGUCUUGCUUUUGCCAUGAAGAAGAUGAUGAACGAUAAGGCACUAGUCAGGCAUCUGGCUGCUUGUGAGACAUGGGAUCAGCCACAACUAUCUGCAGUGACAAGACCGGGACACUAACGACGAGCCACAUGACUGUUGUGAAAGCUUGCAUUUAUGGUAAAAUCAGAGAUGUGGGAACCUCCGAGGAAGCUACUAACUUUGCUUCUAUAGUUCCUGAAUCUGGUUGGAGGCUUGCGCUGCAAUCUUUUUUGAGCAUCUUUUGUGGUAAAAUCAGAGAUGUGGGAACCUCCGAGGAAUUUCCUGAAUCUGGUUUGAGGCUUAUGCUGCAAUCUAUUUUUAACAACACUGGAGGAGAAGUUGUUAAAAACAAAGAUGGCAAGACCGAGUUACUUGGAACACCCACUGAGACUGCUAUUUUGGAAUUUGGGAUGUUGCUAGGCGGUGAUUUCAAGGCAGAAAGGGAGGCAACAAAAGUUGUUAAAGUUGAGCCCUUCAAUUCUCAUGAAAAGCGAAUGGGUGUUGUUGUAGAGCUUCCUAAAGGUGGCUUCCGGGUGCACACUAAAGGUGCUUCUGAGAUAAUAUUAGCUGCAUGCGACAAAAUCAUGUGUCCAGAUGGCAAGGUUGUUCCCCUCGAUAAAGCAUCCAUUAAUUUUUUGAAUGGCAUCAUUGAACGUUUUGCUAGUGAAGCCCUUAGAACUCUCUGCCUUGCAUACAUGGAGGUCGGCAAAUUCUCAGCUGAAAGUCCUAUUCCCACCUCAGGGUACACAUUUAUAGGCAUUGUGGGUAUCAAAGAUCCAGUUCGUCCUGGUGUCAAGGAGUCUGUUGCAAUUUGUAGGUCUGCUGGUAUUACAGUCAGAAUGAUUACUGGAGACGACAUAAACACUGCAAAAGCAAUUGCAAGAGAGUGUGGAAUUUUGACCGAUGGAGGUUUGGCAAUUGAAGGCCCAGUGUUUCGUGAGAAGAGUGAGGAGGAAUUACAAAAAAUUAUUCCAAACCUUCAGGUACAGUUUCUUAUUUUCUGAAAAGACACUAGUCAGAAACAUGUUAUCAAAAUUUCACAAUCCCGCCAGUGAGCUGUCUCAGAAACAUUUAAUUAAAUGUAUUUUACUUAACAAAUCCCUAGACUAGUAGACUGUUAAACCUAUUGAAAUUCCUUAUUCCCCCGUUACCAUUAUUGCACAGCUAAUUAUGGUAGACAUACUAACAGUGACAAUAGCUCUAACCAUAUCAACGAUAAAUAAAUUAUUUCUUCACUUACGGGUGACGUGCACCUUUAACCAUAAAUAAUAGAACAAUUUUCUUGUCUAAUUUUGCUGUUCCCUUCCACUUCAAGUGACUUUUCUAAUGAUGCAAUUUGAUGCUAUGAUCAGGUUAUGGCUCGUUCUUCACCAAUGGAUAAGCAUACCCUUGUAAGACACUUAAGGACCACUUUUCAAGAAGUUGUUGCUGUGACUGGUGAUGGUACAAACGAUGCUCCAGCACUUCAUGAAGCUGAUAUAGGACUUGCAAUGGGCACUGCUGGUACUGAGGUAUUUACAAAGAUGUUGCUUCUUUUUGUGUCUUAAUAAAAGCCUCCUCUCGCUCUCUCAAAUCGUAGAGUCGCACAUGUCGACAGUUGAUUUUCCUGUUUUAUAAAUAUAAUAUGCUAAAAGAAGCAACGUUUUUACUUCUUAGGUAGUUGUUUCUAGAGAAAAGUUCAAUCACUAUUUUCUCUCUCAUGCCUGUAAACCUAUUUUGUUGCGUUACAAACAUUCAAUUCCGGUAGAAUUUGAUUGGAAACUACAGUUGUACAAUUAGAGUUGCAUGAUCUUAUUACUAAAUUGAGAUAUCAGAAGAAUGCACAAGGGUUGCAAAGUGGUGGUGGUAAGAUUAAAUUUUAUGAGGUUACAUAUGGAUAAUACAAGAAAUAAGUGAAUCCUUUGCCCAAGGACGUCUCAUUUACUCUCUUCUUCUUGUUCGUGAAUCCCCUGAUCCUUUAUUUUUAGGUGAGCUUGAUCGUUUUUGAUAUUAAGGUAAUUAAGAAUGUGCUAAUUAUAUCAGGUGGCAAAGAAAAGUGCUGACGUGAUAAUUCUGGAUGAUAACUUUUCUACAAUUGUGACUGUGGCCAAAUGGGGACGUUCAGUGUACUUGAACAUCCAGAAAUUUGUUCAGUUCCAGUUAACAGUUAAUGUGGUUGCGCUUAUUGUCAGCUUCUCUUCCGCCUGUUUAACUGGUAAGCAGACUGCGAUGCAUUUUCUCUCUUGUUUAAGUUUCUCAUGAAAAUAUUUUAUUGGCUAACUUUUUGUUUUGGGUUGAUAACGCUCAUAGGAAAUACUCCCCUUACUGCUGUUCAGCUUCUCUGGGUCAACAUGAUCAUGGACACUCUAGGAGCCCUUGCAUUCGCCACCGAGCCACCUAAUGACGAUUUAAUGAAGAGAGCACCGGUUGGCAGGAAAGGAAACUUCAUCACUAAUGUGAUGUGGAGAAAUAUCCUAGGGCAGUCUCUGUAUCAGUUCGUGAUAAUAUGGUUUCUACAGACCAGAGGAAAAGAAGCUUUUCAGCUCGUUGGCCCAGACUCGGAUUUGAUCUUGACCACCCUUAUCUUCAACUCAUUUGUGUUUUGUCAGGUAAUUAUGAAUCAUCGAGGGAUGUGAUUUAAUCGUAUUGCGUUUGUUAAUGAAUGGAGUAUUGGAAAAAGUAAAAUUCAAAUUCAGGAAAUGACAACUCAUCCACAUACAUUCAUUUGAAUGCUACCGUCUUCUUUCAGGUUUUCAAUGAGAUCAGCUCGAGGGAAAUGGAGAAGGUUAACGUCUUCAAAGGCAUAAUGCAGAACUACGUUUUCAUGACUGUCCUCUCUGCCACUGUUAUCUUUCAAAUCAUAAUCAUCGAGUUCUUGGGUACAUUUGCGAGCACACAUCCUCUAAGUUGGAAGCAAUGGUUUGCCAGCGUUGCACUUGGGUUCCUUGGCAUGCCGGUUUCAGCAGUUCUGAAAUUCAUCCCUGUGUAACAAGUAGACUGAAAUCAACCGGAACUUGAACAGGUACUUCUCCACUUGCCUACCGAUGGAUGUUUUGUUAUGGCAUCAUUUCAAAUAUCAUUCUUUUGACUCCGUAAACUCUGAAAAGCUCACAAAUUCAAGGCUAAAUGAUAAACUCUCCCGCUUACAAAAUGAUAGUUUUGGUAAACAUGAAUGCGUAGGACGUAUUCUACCUGUUCGAACGUCUAACCAGUUGUACUUUUACAAGGAUUUAGUUUAUGCUAACAGGUUUACUGUUUUGCUUAAUCGUGCUGUUCUUUCCUUAAUGUUGAUCCUUCUCUUGUAAUUGUUCGUGUUAUUGUCGAUAAUUAAACCACCGAUUGAUGCAUGCUGCAUAAGAGACUGCUUGUACUAUAGUAGGCCAUGGCAAUUUCCGGGCAUAUACCAUGUCAUGCGACUCCCAUCUCUUUCGUCGAGAAAACAAAUUAAAUGAUAUGCCAUGCAAUCUUCUCGUAUCUUCGCUUUCACCCAAACAUCAGUCAAAGUUAUGAAUGGAGGUGUCACGUGAUAAGAGAGAUAUUAAUGUAAGAAUUUACUCCAAUUACUCUUUAAGCCAAUUAUGUCACGUGAUAAGAGAGAUAUUAAUGUAAGAAUUUACUCCAAUUACUCUUUAAGCCAAUUACAGUUUUACCUAAUUUGGUCACAUGUGAUAUUUACUAUUACCGAAGUAAUUCCACUCUGCUAUCGAAAUUUCUUUAGCAGAACAGAAUCACACUUCUCUGAUGUAAUGCAACUCAAAGAAUUCUCUACAACAUCCAUUCACGGGGCUCGAAUCAAACGGAAUCAGCGAUCAAUCGGUUUUUACAGGCUUCUCUGCUGGAACUGAAGAUCUAACUGCAACAUUUAUCGGGAUCGAUCGGUCCUUCAGACUCUUUAGCUCCUUCUCCUGCAUCCGAUUGUAACAUAAAAACACAGCUUCCUGCAACACAAGGGCCAAUGAGUCCAAGAUUAAUCAAAAUCCAGUCUUUAAUCUAAUUGAUUAAUCAACAAAUGAGAUCAAUUAAGAAAACUCACAAUUUCCAGAAAUUUCAAGUCAGGAACCGAUUUUAUCAUGACUUCCACUGCUUCCUUUAUAAUUUCUGAUCCGCUGCCAUUAAGGUGGCGGCUGCUGCUACGGCGGACGGUCGAUGAUGCAUUAAGUUAAUCUCUGUAAAACAUUAAGAUUAGAGUUAAUUAAUAAAUUAUAAUUAACCAUCGAAAUUUCGAAAACAAGAAAUGGGGUUUUGGAGUUCGGGGACUAACCUUGAGAACCCAUGUGAUGGAUUCAGAUCGAGCUUCCAAAAGCCAGCUGGGAAUGAUCACACUUUCAUCUUUCUUGAAGCCGAAUUCGAUCUCUCUGUUGAUUAAGUUCUUCAGUUGCUCUUGUUCCAGUGCACUAUCGGAGCAGUAGUUCAUGCUGAUCAAUGCGUUUUCAUCAGCCAUCUCUCCGUCCAAAAAUGUCAGACGUUCGUGGCAACAAACGUCUGGCGAGAAGGGAUCGUAGUUAUCACCUCCGUUGUUUCUUUCUUGGCAAGAAAGGUGCAGAAAAUGUAGUAGAAAAAAGGAAUCAAAUAGUAUGAACUCAGUGAGCCAACCCAGUACUGAACCCAAAGAUUUGGAGAGAGAAAAUGGUUGACCAGCAAAGACUGAAUACGACUGAUUAUAUUUAUAGUGAAAGUGGAUGCAGAGAUGUGACACAGUUUUGACGGUUGCAGGUUUAGCAGAGUAGUCUGUUCACUCAUCUGUUCCUGCUUUGUGAGUACCACAAGCUUGAACGCUAGGUUGGGCAUACGUUCGUGUGCGAUUGAUCCUAGCAUCUCUCAUACUUAUAUGCUGCAUCGUUUUUCCGAGAGCAUAUUUUGCUUCUACAUCUCAAAUUAACCGUCAAAUUCUCCGGCUUCAAGUUUUCAACAUUCACUGAAAAUGCCCAUAUAAUAAGAGCAACUCCAAUCGUUCUAGGAGAGCAAGGGCAAGGCAAGGUGAUGGCAAGCCAAUGAAAUUGCUCUUAUAAUAGUAAUUGGCUUGGUGCAGAUCCAUCGGUUUGAGAAGAGAAAGGGCAAGGGAAUGGCGAUUAAUAUUCACAAAUAUUUCUUUUUAAUGUUUUAUGCCUUGUAAGUGUGUAACUAGCAAAUUUGUUCUUAGAAAAUAAAACUUCAUAUUUAACCCCGAUAAUUUAAUUUUAAAUACAAAGCAAAACAUAGUAUUACAACAAGCAUAAUUAAAAAUAAAAGGCAAAUGAAGAAGAUGGUUGAACUUUAUAAGGUUGUGGAGUGUUUUUAAUUUUAAGUGUAUUGUUAAAAAGCAUUUGUGCUUAUUUAGAAUUUUUUGGUGGUUUUUUAGCUUUUUUUAUCUUCAAAUUAAUUCAGACAGUUGAUUUACUAAAUUUUGUUUAAAUCAGAUGCACCAGAUUGUGCCACGUUGGACAACCUUAAUUUUUUUUUUUUUAAUGUUGGAAAUCCAACAGUCUGCAAAGACAAGGCAACGAUCUCCAAGGGACUAGAUUUUGCAUAUGGGUGGGCCCAGUACUGCAAUGGCACAAGCCAAGGCAAUUCUUGCAAGGGCAGUUGAAAGGGUAUAAGCCCUUGGCCUAAUUGCCCUCCGUUUUUUGAACCGGUGGACCAAUUUUUUUGGGGCUAAGGACAAUUCAACCCAAUUGCCCUAUCCAUUAGACCAUGAGUGGAAAUGCUCUAAUGGUGUUUCCGAAUUUCGGUCUACAUGGCAUUUACACAACUCUUUUUCUCUUUACAAACUUGAAAUGUGUGUAUUAAUUUCUACUAGGUGUGUCUGAAUUUCCCUUCAAUGAUGAUUGCCUUGUACAAAAUACUCACAGACAUUGCAUAAUAUGAAAACAAAUAAUAUUCUGGUACAAAUUCUAGGGCAAAAAGCUUUGCUCUUUUAUUACUUUCUGUAAAUUUUCUUCAGGAAGCUGUUUCUCAUCACCUCCAAAUCAUGACAUUGUGAACAAGUAAGAACUAUGCACUCUCUUUAAACCAGUUACAAUUUUACUGAUGUAAUCUAAUCUAACUGAAAAAUUCUCUACAAGUUCCAUCCGCUGGGCUCGAAUCAAACAGCAUCAGCGAUCAAUCGAUUUUUACCGGACACGGGUUCUUUAGGUUUCUCCGUCCUUAGCUCCUGCAGUAUAUAUUGUAGCAUGAAAACACAGCUUCCUGUGACGCAAAAGGCCAAUAAGUCCAAUACUUCAUAUGAAACAUCAAUUAAGUAAUGAGAAAACAGCUAAAUGAACUCACAAUUUCCGAAAGUUUCAGUUCUGGUAUGGAGUUUAUCUUUAGUUCCAAUGCUUCUUUUGUUAAUUUCUGAUCCAAUGCCAUCAAGGUGGCGGCGGCUGCUACAGCUGACGGUCGUUGAUGCAUCAAAUUAAUCUCUACAUUAACAUUAAAAACAUGAAUUAACUAACCAUCUAAAUCAACUCACAAUUAAUUAAGUGAUCAAAUAGGUACAGAAGUACCUGUGAUCACAGAAAGGAGGAGGUCUUCAAAUCUUUAAUUUUACAUCAGAUGGAGAUUCUUGGCACAAACUUGGAGAUGAAGUAAUCGACAAACGAGAAGGGUGUGAUGAUAUUCAUGUUCCAUUCCAGUGCUCCCAACACCAUAAGCUCCAUUUUCUGAAUCAGUUUUCCUUCGAAAAAGUGAGGAUUUUCGACUUCAUAUUGCGACAGUGAUGGAAUGUUUCUGCUCCUUCAUCUUUGCAGCCAGAGAUAGACACGCCACAGAAAGCAAUCUAACCAUAGCAACCUGCAAAAACAUGAACUGAUUCUCGUUACACAAUCGCCAUAAACACCGAAUGGAAUACAGUUUUACAUUACACAUUGGCAUUAUCGUUUAGACAUAGCCCGAAAAGGCGAACAACAAAAUCUUACAGGGAUUUGUCUCAGGGAAAUGAACCGAUCAAAGUAUGUCAUGCACAAAUAUGCUGUUCUCUAGGAUGAAAUCCAAGACCCGUUCUUCUCUGAAAUCCCAAGAAAAACACCAAUAACAGAACACAAUCAAUUUCGAUUCAAAACAACUUUUUGUUAUCGAAACUUGGAAAACAAGAAACUGGGUUUUUGAGAUUAGAGACUGACCUGGAGAACCCAUGUGAUGGAUUCCAAUCGAGCGUCCAAAACCCAGGUGGGAAUCACCAAAUCUUCGUCUUUCCCGAACCCAAAUUCGAUCUCUCUGUGGAUUAAGUUCUGCAACUGCUGUUCUUCCAAUGCAAACGCCAUCGUAAUUAGUUGUUGAGUUUGAGGAAUGCCUUGUCUUCUACAAAAUCUCCGUUGAAGAGAAAGCUGUGGCUUUCUCGGCAAGAAAGGUCCGGCGAUACAGGAUCACUAUUUUGGUUUUCUUUUUCUUUCUAUCUGUUUAUUGCAUUCCGCGCAGAAAAAAUCUAGUAGGAACAGAGUCGGAUAAUACAAUCCCAGGACUGAAUAAUCCGAGAUUUGGAGAGAGAAAGAAUGGUUGACCAGCAAGACUGAUAAGGACCGGAGAGGUUGAAAUGGAGACGAAAUAGGGUUACAGUUUAGCAAGAAUGUGACACCGGUUUAACGGUUACGGUUUCAACAGAAUCGGGAAACGGGGUGUGUGAAACAGUUUAGCAAGUACCGGUUUAGGAAAGUAAUUUUCACACACAUUUUUUAGCCUCUUAUACAGCCUAUUUAGGGCUGGUUUAGUAUUACUGUACUUUGAAAAAAAACUGUUAUGAGAAUAAGCGGCUAUGCUGUGAAAAUAAGCGGCUAUAAAAUAAAUCAGCAGAAUGUUUGGUAAACUUUUUUGUAAAAGUGCUUUUUGGAAAAAAAAAAAAAAAAAAACAGUCUGAUAGUGGGUCUUUUUCAUUAAAGGAGCAUUGUAGCUCCGUGUGCUUUUGAAAAAAGCAAAGUUUUCCAAAGCUGCAAAUAGCAGCUUCAACUUUUUCCUUUGAUUUCAGCUUAUUCUCACAGCAGCUUCCAAAAUAAACCCUUUUUUUUAAGCACCUCACUCCCAAACCACCCCUUAAUCAUGACCAUUGAUUAUGUUUUUAUUUAUUUAAUUUGAUGGCCAAAAAUAAAAAGGGUGUGUGAGACGGAUUUUUUCAAGUUACCAGUUGUCAAACGGUACUCCACAUGUCAUAAUACAAGUGGAGGAAAUAAAUUUUUUUUUUGUGUGUCCCUUCCUUAUUUUUAUGUCACGUGGAGUAAUCUGAUUGAAAUACAGAACACUUGAAAAAAAAUUAUCAUGUGAGGCUAAAAAGUAAAAAAUGUGUGUGAGAAUCACUUCCUUUAAAAAUUGUAUUUGCACUUUUAUAGAAUCAACAAACCUGUCAUUGCACAUUUUGAAUGAACAGGUCAUUGAUUUUACAAGAUGAACACGUCGUUCAAGUAGGUUUAAGAAAAUGAAAAAAACUAACGUAAAGUCUUAAAAAAAUUUAGUUUUAAUGAAAAAUAACAAAUAAAUAUGUAAUGAAUAAUACUAGAGAAAGGUAAAAAUGUGUGUUUUUUCGUUAAAAUUGAACAGUACCGGGAGUAUUUCGUUAAAACUCCCUUAAGAAAACGCUUAUGAUCAAAAAGCAAUAUCUAUGUGACGGUAUUUAAAAAGAAAAAUGACACAUUUGAAUGAAACAUAUCGUUGAUUUUACAAGAUAAACUAUAGCUACUAAGAAUGUUACUGUGAUAGUAUUUAAGUUAUUAAUUGCAAAUUCUUAUGCAUUUUGAAUUUUAUAAAUUGGAGUGAGUAUUAAUUUUUGAUAAAAUGUCUUCCCGUCACGCCUUAGUGUCAUAUACCUAUUUUGUAGAAGUCUUCGUAUCUGACACUCAUAAUAUUAUAGUCAUUAUUAUUAGUCAUUGAGGAUCUUCUAAUACGUUUUGAACUUUUGAGUUAUCUUAUCUAAAAUUUUAGCGAUUAUAAUUGCAGAAUAUGGAAUUCUCCGGAGCACAACUUAUUUUCGUAGUCAGGGAGGAGGGUACAUGAAUACGGGUUGUGUUUCCCUAUGUUUUGACUGUCCCAGAUCCCAUUCCAAUUCAAACUUGUCACUUCUGAAACAAAAACCCUGAAGCCACCGGGCAGUGUGCUCACAUGGCAGCCAACUUCAAGCUUCCCAUAUAUGUCCACCACCACUCCCAUUUUUCUGCCAACACACCCUUGACUCUCAAAGGAGGAGUGCUAGGAAAAGGAAUCCUCUCCGGAUUUCUUUCUCCUAAUUGAAUUAGGGAAUCAUACUGUUGAAAUUUGAUCCAACGGCUACAAACAGGGGUCCAUUUAAAAGUAUAUAAACUUCAGUCGUUGGAUCAAAUUUCAACAAAACGAAUCCCUAAUUUAAUGGAAUUAUAAGAAAAAGAUCUGAAGAGGAUCUCUUUCUGAAGGCUAGGGUACCCUUACGGGUAAGCUGUUGGAAAGGGUCUUGGACUUGUAUGAUCAAGUCCCCUCUAACACAUCUGGCCUUUUUAAGUUUUAUUGUUCAAUGACCCUUCUCUUUCUUUAAAUGAACAUGAUAAAAAAACAAAGUAGAAAUGUGACAAGAAAAUGAACAAUAAUCCCUUUUAAGAAAGACGUCCACGCGGCAAGCAACUUGUACGGAAGCAGUGUUUUCAUGAAAAUGUGUGUGAGCGACAGGAAGCUGUGACGUAGGCACGUGUAUAGAUAGACACGUAGCCCAAUUCAUACGUGAGAAGUCUUCCGUCACAUACAUAGAAGAUGUUAUCUACCUAAUCACAAAAUCGUCAUUCGCUUUUUAAGAAAGAGCGUCCAAGUCUCCGGCAAAGAAUUUGAAAGUAUCGCGUAGUCUAUAGCCACGUGUGUUUUUCAUGCACUAGAAUAUGUGUGAGCGACAAGGUGUAGGUACGCAUGUCUACCCUCUUUUGUAUGUCGUAUGAUAUGUGUCAUAGGAUCUAAUUGUUCAUUUAAAGUGUUCGCUGAUGAGGCGUUAUAAUCGGCGAAUUGUAUACUUUUUUACUUCUCAUCUUUAUACAAGAACUUCGAUUCAUUAUCGUGACACGAAGCAACUUGUUGUAUCACACACUAAACAGCACCUGAUUUAUAUGUACUCAAGAACCUCAAAGAUAAUUUAAAAGGAAUUGACUUUUUAUACCUUUUCAUUCUCUUCUUUUUUUAAAGAUGAUCUCAUGCUUCCGAAGUGGAUAGGGUUUCAAGAGGAGGUUCAAUUGGAACAGUCCUCAGGAAGUUUUAGGCGGCCUCCUUCUUCGCAAUUAUAUUCCCACCGAGACUAAAGGGCUUAUAUAUGUUAAAUGCUUCUUUUUAGUCCUUGACAGCCAAAGAGCUUAAAAACAUACAGGAAAAAAUAGUGAGUUGGAAAAGCUAAUCCCAGCUGCAAGGCCCACCUGUUUUUUCUAUUUGUUCUUUCUCUUUUUUAUGUAAACAUGCAAUUUUUGUUUCCAAUUGAUAUUUGAUUUUUUGAAUAUUUAUUUUUUAGUUGUCCCUAGUGUAGCUUAUGAUUGGAUUGGUGAAACUAACAAGAAUGUGAAUAUUGUAUUUUGUAAAUGUUAGGCUAGGAAGGGAAUGAUAAGAUUGAGAAUUCAAAUGUUUUGGUUACACAUUUCUUUGAUGUUCAUCCAUUGUAAGAAUUGUCAUCUUUUUGUUGUUCCUAUACUAUUAACUGGUUUACGUUUGGUGGCAGGACAAGAAUGAACUUAUACUUUGGAUUCGAUAGUUAGAAUGUAAAGAAACUAGCGUGGGAUUGGAAAUUUGUAAACCUGUGUGAACAUUAGUUGCAUAAACGCCACUUUAAUUUCGGAUUUUAUGCCUAUCACUCUCCAAUUUCUCAUCCAAUGCAAACAAAGAUCUUGACGUAAGCUAUAGCUAUUCCUUAUACACAUCGAACCGCCAAAAACCAAAACCACAUCUUUUUCAGUCACGUGUCUCACGUGCUGCAUUUUCUACCCGCCUCCUGGCUGUCUUCCACUCUCGAAAAACUCGCCGCGUUCCAGGCGACUCGCCGACUCCGUACUAUAAAUUUUUCUGAGCAACUCCAGCCCCAUACUCUCUUAUCACAAAGCACACCAAACCCAACGGCUCACAGCCCGCCACGUCAUAAACCAUACGACUCCGCGCACCAGCGUGCCACAUGUUGGCACCGAAUAUUCGAUGCCACAAAAAUGUUCCAGAUUUCAAUUUCCCCCAAAAUUUUGAUUUCUCAAAAGAAAGAGGAAGCCCCUUCUCGCAUUUUUGCCCCAAAUCAGGAAACCCUAAUUCCAUUAAUGGCUGAAUUGGUCUCUGGAUUUUCUGAAUCGCAGUUUUUUCUCGUCUCCGGCCAAUUCGAUUUCGUCGAUCUCGUCAGAUUUUUCUCUCUUGGGCAGCGCUCUCCUCUCUCCACCUUCUUCUUCUCAGAUUUUCAGUCGCCCUUGUAACUUGUUCUGACAGAGAAAAGCGUGCUAGGGAUUCAGAAAGUACAGUAGGGACCCCCCAUACGACUCACAGUUAUGGG